Gallus gallus (chicken) is the source of this 13013-nucleotide long non-coding RNA. The record is from Ensembl. Lineage: Eukaryota; Metazoa; Chordata; Aves; Galliformes; Phasianidae.
GCCGGAGCGGGAGGGGCGGAGAGGGGAGAGCUGGGCGCGCACGGGGCCGCACCUCAGUGAUAAACCGUGUGUGCGUUGCCGAGGGAGGUGUCUGAAGCGCUAUGGGAAGCACAAGCAGGACAGAAAUUCCAGGAGGGGAGGCGGUGUGAACGCAGUUUUGAAGACAUUGAUCCCUUCCUAGGAUGGAAGAGGAAGGAAAGUAGGCACGUGCUUUGGGUACCAAUGUAAGUAAUCAGAAGCAGGAAUAACAGGGAUGCUGUUCAGUGUUUAUUGCUUUCUUUUUUUCCAGAAUUCCAGGAAGAAUUCUUUUAGAAAAGAACGUUGUUCUGUUACAGAUACCACAGAUGCUAAUUUCUCCUGUUCCAUCAACCGUUUAAAUGCUGUAAUCGAUCCUGAACUUAACGUUUUGCAGUACACUCUACCAACAUACCAUGAACUCAGGAGCAGAUUAGUCAUGGGAAGAUAGCGUCUGCCGGACUCGAUUAAGGCUUUGGUCCAUCAACUGCAGUGCUCUGCCGCCAGCCGUGCCCACUGCCCCACGCUUCAGUCAGGAGUGGUAUCAGAUGAACUGCAGUAAAUCAUGAAGUUGAACGUGUCAGUGAUAUCACAUAAGUGUUAGUGACUACGAAUUGACAUAUUAUGACAGCUGGGAAAGCAUUUAGAAAAAAAAAAAAAGAGUUCAUAGGAGGGUUUGAGUUGAGAUGGAUCUUAAAAGGCCCCUCCCCUGCAAUGAGCAGGGGCACCUACAGCUAGAUCAGGGUGCUCAGAGCCCCUCCAGCCUGACUUGGAAUGUCUCCAGGGACACAGCAUCUGCCACCUUUCUGGGUAACCUGUUCCAGCACCUCAAUACCCUUACUAAAACAAACUUUAUAUUUAAUCAGAAUCUCUCCUCUUUUAGUUUGAAACCAUUUCCCCUUGUUCUAUCAAUUGAGAGCUGAAUGAUUUUCUAGAGAAGCUAUGGUAACAUACACAGGUUGGUCUCCAUAGCUUUCAUGAGCAAAUCAAAGUCAGAAAUGAGCUAUACUGCAGUGGGUUAUUCUGUCCAUUCGCUUAAGUGAUGCAAAAGGGUCACCUAUCAUGUAAUAACAUGCCUUUAUCUUUUCUUGCAAUAGUGAAGGUUUGCAACUGCUUUGGUGACAAUCAUGAUGAAAGAGUUGCUGGGGAUGUAUGGAGGAGGAACCAAGACUGUAUGUACAGUUUCAUUAUUAAGAAAACCACAUUGUCUACUGCCUAUCACUGGAAGUUUGAGCAGAUUCAUAUUUUUUAGUCUCAUGCUGUGUCCUAAAGAUUUGUGAAUUGUCAGAAUUUGAUCCUACAUCACGCUGAACAAUUUCUUCAGAUUCUUAAUGUUCUCAUCUUCUGUUAGAGCAGGGAAAUCUCAGCACCCACAAAAAUUCUUAGGUUUUAAGAGCAGCAUGGAUUAGUAGGAUUAGCUGAUGUAUCACCAUACAUGACAAAUGAUGGAACUUCAUACUGCAGCAAAGUAUCUUACUUGAAAUUGCUCAGCACCUGUCGAGUUGCUGUCGUACACAAAAUGGAGAACAGUUCUACGAACCCAUGGCAGCAUUAGUCAGACUCUGGCUGAGAGUGAUUACCAUCAGGUUACAAAAACUAAUGGAUGGGAGGAGCAACUACCUAUGAAGUGAGAGGUUUUAUUUUAAAUUGUGUUUAGAAGUAAUCUUUUAAAAUUCAUCACAAAAACACUUCAUUUGACUUUGUCCUUGAAGACCUAAAGGAGCAGUUGCUUUGGACAUGGAGGAAACCGCUGCUGUGGAAGGGUCUUUAGCCCAGGAUAGCUAAACAAAACAAAACAAACAAACAAACAAAAAAAGCUGUGAACAUUUACAUUUCAAAUUUCAUUUAGCCAGAAAGAAGCUUUCUCCAGAAGCUACACAGGUUCUGGAUCAGGAGAUCUCCUUACAUUUUUUUAAAAAAGUAAAACCUGCAGUAAUGUCAAGUAAAUGUUUUGUAAACAUGAACAGUUAUAUAAGGUUGCAAAUCUCAAAGCUUUCACAGUCAUAUUAAUGAAAAAUAUAUAAACCAGAUUUUUUUUUUUUAAUAGGAACAUGUAUAUUUUGAGAUGAUAAAAGUUUUUUUAAAAAAAUUGUAGGGAUUAUCUCUAAUGUGCAUUACAUUAAAUUAUACAGCUAUAGAAUUAUCACACAAGCAUUUGAGCUUGUUCUUCCUUUUUUCCUUACUGGAACAAGAGAUAAAGGCAUAAGAGCGCACAUAUUCAGACAGGUUAUAGCACUUUCACAGUAGCAAAACAUCACUGAGUACAGUAGGACUAAAUCUGUUCAUAAGAGCUUGAAAAUUUACACAUUAGCUGAGUUUCGAUGAGAAGAAAAUUAUUUCCAGUAUAACCAUUUGAUGUGAAAGAAAGGAGGGGUCCAAGGUCCAUAAAUAUUCAAGCUAAGAGUGUACAUGGAGUUCAUCUCCUGUUGAGACCAAUGAAGUGUUUUUUACAUUCUUACAGUUGCUUCAUUGUUCUAGAUGAAGUCAACCAGUAUGAGCUCUUUUGAGAAAAAAGACAGUGCUUUGUUCAUCAAGUGACAUACAAAGGCUUUACUGCUUUAUCAGUGCAUUACUUGCUAGCUUCAAUAGUAGCUAAAAUAUUAUUGAAAACUACUAAGGUGUUUCUGCCCAAAUUCGUCCACAAACACUCCUGUGAUUUGUGAACAUUUUAAAUACAUGGUAAGACCGGUGCUGCUGUGUCACACUCAAGAUUUUGGACAUGCAUGGACAAAACAAAGUUUUCCAUGAGCUGCUUUUGUGUGGAGUUAGUGAAAUAGCUACUUUUGUGUGAAAGUUAAUCAUUCAGGAUAUUGUCACAGGGAACCAGAGGCUGGCUGGAUUGUGUUAACUGAUGAACUUCAACACAGAAAGUUGGACUCUUUGUUCAUAAAUCAUUGCUCUUGACUUCUAGAUGUGAAGUUGCACGACUGUUAAUGAUAUCAGAGUACAAAGAACAAGACUAGAAGUUUGAAGCAAGUCCCAGUCUGUGAGAUUCUUCUUAUCGUCUGCUGCUACAAUGAACACAGGGCUACUGAAGGACUGACUGCCUGAUAUCUCUUGUAGUGGGAAAGGUGCUUUAGACAGGAAAUGACUGAGAUAUAAUCUUCUCUGGAAAAAUAAAUGUCUAGUUCUUGAGUGUAAAAUGGAAACUCCAUUACAUAAGCUCUCCCUUAUGGACACAAAAUUAAAGUUUAAUUGAGAAUUUCCUGUGCUCGUAACAAAAAGAUGCAACAAAACAAACAAAAAAACACCACCAAAAAAAAAAAAACCAACCAGCCUGAACAAAAUCCAGAGCCCUCGUGGCUAUAACAACUGGGGAAAAAAAAAUCACCCUGUUAAAAUUCAUGCCUUUAAGUGAAUAGAAAACAUCAUGAAAACCUAAAAUAUUUAGGAUUCAAAGAAAAAUAAAUUAUUAAACAGAAAUGUUUGUCUUCUAUGCCAAAGUCAAUUUCUGACAAUAAACUGAAUAUUCUGUGAUAAAUCAUGUUGAAUUUCAUACACAUUUCUCCUGGAAUUCAGUGAUGCUUCUGACCCAAAAAAGGAAAGGUAAACAUCUUCACUAGCAUCUUAGGUAAGUAUACAGCGCUACAGUCUAAGAAAAGAUGAAGGAGAGGGGUAUUUUCCUCUACUUGUUUACUUUGUACCACAGAGAAUGUUUAUAGAUUUUCUGUUUUAUUGUUGCUGCCAGUUACUAAUUUCCCUUUCUUAUGACUUAGUUAAUUGGAGAACAGUUGGGUUUUCUUGUUUGUUUUUAAUCUGUUUUGUUCUUAAAGAAAGGAAUAGUGCUUUUAAAACCAUAACAGAUAGCAGUAAGAAGUAGAAGAGUAAGUAUGUACAACUUUAAUUUUAUGAAAUUAAUCUAAUUUGACAGUAUUUUUUUAAGUUGAGAUGUACCAAGAUGGUCAAAUCAGUUCUGCAUUGCUACUUAUUGAUGACUGUUGUGCUAAUCUGUCACAUACAACUCAGAAAAGAUUUUGGUUUUUACUCCAUAAAGUUAAUACCGGUAUUUCUAGAGGUCUCAGUAAUGCGUAAGUAUAUCCUAUAAAAUGAGUAAUAAGUGCUGUGUUCAAAGUGAUGUUCUUUUGGUUUGUGUUUUUUUGUUUUUGUUUUGUUUUGUUUCUGACAUAGUCUUCACACUAUGCUACUCGCAGUGAAGUUCUGGAUAAUGUACGAUAUCAUGAUUUGUCUGUGUUAACAUGUAUCCUUCCAUUUACUGAAACUUCUAGCAAAGAAAAACGACACUGGACAAAGUUUAAGUAUCUUUAAAUUUACUUAGCUGGGAAGAUGAAAUUGACCCAAAUACUCUUGCCGCUUAAAUCAAGGUAUGUUGAAGUAAGUAAAGCAACUGCAGUGAUUCCUAUUGUAUUCAAUCUAGACUAUCAUUUGUGUCUCAAUCAGUGUUAUGGGAAAAUGUGUAUGCACAUAUAUACAUACACUUCUUUGGAGCUUCUUUUUAGUAAUUAUUUCUAUUUGCUUCACCUCAGUCCCAAACAAAUAAUGGAUAUGUUGUUUAUCACUUGUUAUACAGUCUGUUUUCUUUUGUUACAUGUCUCCAUUUAUUCCCCUGCCGUAUGAAUGCUAAAUGAGAUUAUGACAAGCCUCAACUAAGUUGUAAGCUUAUAUAAUUAAUAUCUGCUAUCCUUUCUAGAAGAAUUAAAGUGCACAAUGUAUUGCUCCUUCCCUCUUUGCCUUAUGCAUUUAGGUUUUAAUUCUAUCAUCUAAGGAAACCUUUUACUUCUCAGGUAAAAAUGAGGAUCAAAACAAGACCUUUUGUUUCCAUUAGAAGCACUUAAUGGUCUUCUUGUUUUCAGAAGGUCUAAUUGUUUUCAGAAUAGCUUCAUUAACUUCUGAAAGUGUUACCAAGACAGGCAUCCCCAGAGCCAGGAUGCUAAUUAGAAGGAAAACUGGCCUUAGAGUACUUGAAGAAUUGUCUUCUUUAAAAGAGCAAGAAGGCUCAUUCAAUCAUUGACAGAAUGUUUCUGCCAAGAAGUAGGAAUAACUGCCAGUUAUACAAACUCAGAGAAUACCUGUGACAAAUGACUUAUUCCCACAGUCAAAUGACUUCUUCAGACAACCAACAACAGGAAGCUCUCUGACGACUAAGUGAAUAGUGCUAAGAUGUCCAUCACUUUCAGUGCAGUCCAAGUCAUGUUGUUUAUGGCCAACUUCAUCUGUCAGCUCCAAUAUUCCUAAUUCAGUAGGUUACGCAUGUUUGGAGGGUGCUUUGAUUGCUUUCUUAGAUGCCAAAAUAGCAGUAGUAGCACAUUUGGCCUUCAUCACAUUCACACUGACUUUAUGUUGAAACUCUUGUAUGUCCAACCAGAAAAAAAAAAAACAAAAAACCAACAAACUUAUGCAGAACUAAGGAAUAAGCGCAGAUAUAAGAUAUAAACAAAAAUAAAAUAAAUGAGUGAUAACAACUUACAUUCUAACAUCUAUAGAAAAAAUACCUGAAUUAAAAAUAAGUGGUGUGGGGAAAGAAAUUACUCCAAAUUUACGUAAAAAUCACUACCAAAUGAGUCAAAUAGGAAUACUUUUAAACAAAAAUAAGCAACCACUAUUAUCAGUCAGAUCCUAGAAGUUCUAUAUUAAUGUGCAUCUCAGAUGUGUGCUGUUAAUAAACUAAAACAUUCUUUGGCUAGGACUGAGGCAAGACAGUGAGCUACACUGAGCUCUCUGUGGCCAAAACUGUCAAUUCUAAAGGAAGUUUCUGUGUUCUUGCUGUCAUUUGAGAAGUUAUGAACUAUGAUCUGGGCUUGCUACACUGCCAAUAGAAUAGGGAAAGUCACCUCAUCUCAAUAAUAAAACUGUCAGUAACAAAAGGAUAGUUCUUAGUUACUCCAGUAGUUACAGGGAAGCUGAUACUAAGGUCAAACAACAGGGCAAGACCAAUACUAGUGCCAGUGAACAUGUCAACAUUAAGCACCAUUGUUUUUCAGAGAAGUACUUUAACACUUCAAUAUUCUGUGUUUCAGAUGGUAUCUGGACACAGUAGAGGUUUGUUUAUUGAUUCUUAGAUGAAACGAGGGCUGUUAGACAUUCUGGAGGCCAACCUGACAAGACUGGACCCAGAAAAAGGACAGUGCUUCAAAGUCUGAAGGUGACAUUGAAGGAGCUCGGCAGCAGAUUCAAAAAAUCCCAACCGAUUCAAUAGGCAUUAUACGCGCUCUGUGUGUACUUUCUCCUGAGCUUGGCAACCACACAAGUGCUGGCAUUGCUACUUACUCUAAGAUUGCAGUCUGUAUCAGAUUGUGUGCUGAGGAAAAGAAUAAGCUUUUACCAUCAUGGAUGGCAUCAGUAUUCACAACUCCUGCAGUACCUAAAAAAUGAAGACCAGAUAAUGCAAAGUUUCCAAUGAAAUCAACAUGCAUUUAAGUCAGUUAAAUGACUUCAAUCUACAGAGAGGAAAAAUAAUUACAAAUAUCACUUCUCUAACACACAAGAUCACAGCACUGUAAUUGGAAAUGUUACUGGCAUGGUGCCCUUUCCCUGUGCUGACGGUAUUUCCAAGCGUGCUGCCUUAUUGUUUCUGUGCUAGAUUGAUAUUAAAGCAACUACAAUGAAAGGGAAUGACUCGAAAAUUUUCCAGUACUAGGCUUGAUGCCCAUGGCAUUUUGAAACUUUCUGCCCACCUUCUUCCACUCAGCAUAACCAAAGGCAAAAUAGAUGCAACCAAGACAAGUGUUCAUUAGUAGGAGGUUCUGUAUUUUCCUACCUUCUCCCAGAUCAAGGUGAAAAACGUGGGCUUUAUGACGUAUGCAGUGUUAGCUCUACUGUAGCAAUCAGUAAGUUGUACUAUAGGAGAAUGACACAUUUUUAUCAGCUAGCUCACUGAAAGGAAGGACUGGUUGCAAGUGAUAUUUGUACAGGGCAAUCUCUUGAGAGGUAGAUGGCUGAGAGGCAAGGUUGUCAGCAGCUGGACCCUCAAAGGUAGUUUUAUAUUAAGAAAACAUCGGAGAAUCCUGCUAGGGAACAAUGCCACCAGUGUGUGGGCAUAAAUAGAUGGAUUUUACUUACGUAAGCCCUUAAAAAUCCCUGUGUGAUUAAUAGAAGCUUAAUAAAGGGGACAGCUGCAUUUGUAAGGAAUCUGUACCCAUUAGGUGAACUCAUACUUCUUGUUCUUCCUAAGCUAAGAUAGCUCUUUCUCUCUUGAAUUGUUACCAGGCUUUUUUGCGUACUGAUCCCAGAGAGCAAGUGAUCUUUUAAAAAUCAUGUUUUACCCAGAACUACAGGAACAAAACAAUUUUUCUGAACUAGUUACUCGUCUGUAGUUGAGCCUAGUUGGGAAUGGUUACUGGAACUAACAGUGGACAGUUUAUUUCUUCCAUGGAGAACAAAAGAGCCUUUUGGAAACACUCAUUUUCAGUUUCCUUUGCUGCACCAAGCCUAGUAAGAGUAUAUUUUCGAUGCUAAAAUGUUAACGUGUUGGGCUGAUGAACAUCCCUUGGACAGUAGGAUUACACAACAAGAUCAGUAGCCCCACAAUCCCGUACUUUCCAGUUAGUUUUGAGAUAAACAUAUAGGUAUGUUCUGCCUUUUCUUUUGAUAACCUUUCCUUCCUUUUUGUAAAUAGAGGUUUUAAACUCAGAAGAGAAUAUUUUCUGCCCCUGGUACAUCUGUAUCAACUUCAUCCCCCUCAGCAAGCUGCCAACUCUGCAACUAUACACAGGCUUCCAUUAGGUGCAUACCAUUUUAUCCAGGACAGAAAGAUGGACUUAUUUUAUAAAACAGGAUGAAGUGGAGAGAGUAGAUUCAGUAGGACAACUAGUUAAUAUAAAUUACUAAGAAAUACAAUGCUAAAAAUAUCCUGUCUCCAUCAGUUUAAAUUCACACCUACUCCUAUCUGAGCAGGAGAGAGAAAACAGAAAUCUCCUUCAGCUUUCAAAACUUCAUCCAUCUCCUGAGAAUCAAAUCUUCAGCUGGCAGAUGUCAGCAGGCAGCACCAGAACCGUACUAUAUUCCUGAAGGAUCCACUCUUCAACACCAGACUGCCACAACUGGAACGUCAGAGUUACAGAUAACUCUCAGCAUUCCUUGGGGACAGUUAAAUUCCCUGGAGGCCUUGUAUGUUGCUGUCAGCCUGACUGGGUAGUAAAGCAGACCAUGACUUCAGCAGGUGAACAGAGGGUGCACAUAAUGCUUUAGUCUCUUCCUGUUCCUAUGCCUGUUACCAGCUUUGCCUUUUAUAUUCUCACAAACCAAUUGCUUUCCUGAAAUGGACAUUAGGUCCUGAUGAACCACAUCAGCAAUACACUGGCUGUUUAAUUCCUGAGGAAAGGAGAGCAUUAAGCAAACCAAACACAAAAGAUGGUACUGAGUGGACUUGGAGUGGACAGUGAACAAAGGGAAAGGAACCUAAGACAGAUGCAUUGUGUAGUUUAUACUGUUUAGGUAAAACUAACAAUAGUACACCAGGCUGGAAUGUAAAUGGUGGAAAUGUGGGUACAAAUUUCUUUUAGGCUGUUUAAGUUAAGGCUGUUACUGUGAAAAAUGAUAUAGCUUCUAAUUAGAAUGCAUGUUGAAAACUCUGCAUCAUAAAAAUGGAAAAUAGAAUCUGAACAUGCUGCGUAUCAUGAAUCCGACUGAACAGGACUCGGGGAGGAAAUUACAAGUGUGUUUUAGCAGUCACUGCAGAUUAUCUCAUGGGUUCUUUAUAUAUACAUGUUUUUGUGGUGUCAAGCUGCAGGAGCUUAGGAGUUCUGUAGAGCUUGUUGCAAGUGCUGUAGCUCAGUAGAUGUCUGAGACUUUUCAACAAGACUGAAGAUCCCAUCCCCGGCCAUGGUGAGUUACUGUAGACCAUACUAUAUGACCAUACCAUAGACCAGCACCAUAUGGGUGCUGAGACCACAACUCUGAAAAAGUUGUGCAGACAUGCUCAACGCUGCAUGCUGCGAGUUGGCCCAGAAAAAAACAAGAAGGCUUUUAUAGGAAUCUGGAGACUUUUGCAAAAGACUAGCCCCAGAUGUGGACAAAGUAGGACGCAGUCUAGAACAGCGGAGUGACUGUGGUCCAACAGACUACUUUGUCUGUAGUAAACCAGAUUGGCUCCUACUACUGCUGUUGUCACCAUGGUACAGACAGGAUGUCUGGUGUGAUGUAUGUUCACUGCUGGGAUUGAGGGUCCUCUCCAGCAGUGCUGUAUCUGGCAAUAUGCUAUCUGCCUUCAGAAGUCCUGGAGUUGACCACUACUUCACUGUAUGGUCUCCAGCCUGUCUCCUCAUUCCUUUCCCUUGGCAACAGCAUCCCCAUCCUGAGUCCCUCAGCUUUGAGGCAGAAACAUUGCAUUUAGCAUGUGUUGAGAUUGUUGAGCUGGCUAUGCUUUGUAGGAGUGAGUCUUGUUUAUACCAGAAAUUCACACUGAUUAUAUGCAACUGUCAUGUUCAGUUCCUUGGUAAGUUUUGUCAAACAAACAAACAAAGAUACCUUGUAAAGAGAAUUGGAAUGGGGUAAGGCAACCAAAUCCAGGACAAUGCAGUAGCAAAAUAUGGGUGGAAAUCAGAUGUGCAUGCACCAUUUAUCAUAAUUGGAGAUUAUUUGAUGGUAUCACUACACUUGUACACUUUCAUGCCUUUAAAAAAAAAUCUAAGAAAAAUUGUGCUAAGUUAUUUUACCAACAAAUAGUACCUAAAGGUAUUACUCUUAGAUAGUUAUGAACAAGAGAGAAGUGAUGUCGUACAGUGCUAUUCAUAUACCACACAACUAAACUCACCAGCUUUCUAAGAGGAACAAUCAAAACAACAUUCUCUCCCCUACCCAGAGCAGACAGAUCCAUAAAUUCUAUAAACCUCACAUUUCCACAAAAUACCGGUCUCAUUGUGUUCGAAAUCGUUAGACUUGGUGAAUGAGUGAUGCAGAACCUCCUUACAGAAUUGCAGUAUUACACUAAAAAUGCAGUUGAGGUACAUCUCAUCAGGCUCUGAAUCUCUCCACUGAUUUUUGGCAGGAAUCUGCUCCAUUGCCUUAUACUUACUAGAUCCUUUGUUCGAAAGGAGAACUAAACAGUCGAAAUUGAUUAUCACAUAAUUGUUUCAAAGGAAACCAAAAGAUGCAGUAGUUAAGAAGAAGUAAUUAGAUAGAGUCUACUACUUUUUGAAAACAUUGCUCUGGGGAAUAAGUUCUGAAGUAGUAAUUCAUGUGAAAUACAUAGCUAGUGUUCUGUUCAGAGGGGGAGAAAAGAAAAGCAACCUGAGUUCUGCACUUCUAAUAGCUAUAAGAGUCUCUUCUAAAUUUGUGAUCUUUUCAUAUGUUUCUGGAUUCCCCUGUUCUGUUAAAGCAGAAAUUCACAGAUGCAAGUGGAAAUAUCUUGACAGUAGGAGGGAGUAAAAGGUAACCAGCAUGAAGAACAGCUGUGAAACACAGGCAAGACAUUGGUUUCACUGUUUUUUUUUUUUUUCAUUUUUCCCUUAAAUGAUUUGUGUUGGUGAGGUUUGCAUUCUGAAAGCUUUUGCUCCCUGUUAAUGCAGAUUCUCAUCUGGGAUUAUAUACAUUUAAAUCCUCGUACUGUUGUAAGCAAUGAACAUUAGCAACCUUUAUUUACACUGCUGUUCUAUAAAAAGCAGAGGGAAUGCCCAAAAGAGGAUAUUUUCCUUUGGCACAAGGACACAACCUGAUUAGAACAUUAUAUAAUAUUAAUACUCAUUUGGCAUAUUUUUUGAGGCAGAUCUAGAAAUUCAACACCUGUGAUGGUGGUGGCAACUGCAUGCUGGAAAAAAUGAAAUCGUCUGUCUGAGAACUUUUUAAUGAGUUGUUCAGAACUAAUUGGUAAAUGUAGCUGAGAAGGAGCACAUGGGAGGGAAAGAAGAGUGGCUGCCAACACUGCAAGAGUCCCUGUUCCUUCCUUUGCAGUCAUGACAGUAAGGGAAUGUUGCGGACAUAAGUAGAGAUAGGAUGGAGGAGGACCAGGAAUACUGACAGAUAACCCCAACCUCAGCCAGAGGCCAAGUACCCAAGCUUCAUGCAAGCGCUCAGAAAAGGAAUUGGGCACUGAAGAAGCAGCCAACUCAAAACAAUUCUGUGAUGGAGCUUAUGCCAGGAACCAAGGCCAGCCUCCAUGUUGGCAGGGCAGUGAAUCCACUGACCCAAGUGCAGUGCCCUGUAACUUGGCAACAUGAGCAAAGACAGAUUCAGUGACAAUCCUAGAUAAGGCACAGUGAAGAACCAGCUUGACAGUCCAGCCAGGCAGUCUAGUCAGGAGCAGAGAGCGCUGCAGCUUGAGGCUGCAAUACAAACCUGUUUGAGCCAAAGUCUGAAGCAAGCACAGAUACAACAUUCGCAUAAUUCAGAGCAAAAGUAGGUUCCCAGACCUGAGCUUGAAUAGCUCUGGAACAUGGGAGAGAGUGGGCAGGGUCCCAGAUGAGGCAGGUUUGGGCAAUUAAGACCUGUUAACGUACCCAGGACUCUAAGGAGAAAAAAGAAAAUGGUUCUUAGUUUCUGUUGUGUUAUAUGUCUUUCUGCUUGCUGAGAAGCAGUAAUAUGAAGUAUGUGUUUUUGGUUCAUCAGAACAAUAACUGCUGCCUCAGCAGCAGUCGUUCCAAAGAGAACAGAGAGAACUCUGUAGAUUAAAAAAGAAAGAAAGAAAAAAGAAGGAAAAAAAAAAAGAAAAACACCACCACUACCAAGUCAAUAGGCAUUACAAAAUUAAGAGCAGAGGAAUGAAUUAGACUUACAGAGAAUGAAUGAGGCUUACAGAUGGGGUAAAUUCCCCAUCUAUGAGUGGUGAAUUCCCAGGUAAAGAAGGUUUGCACAGGAAAUGUUAAUAGUACAUGAGGGGCAAAAAGUGGGGGAGAGGAGUGUGGCAAGGAGAAAAGUUUGCAGCAUGGUGAAGAAGAAGUCUGAGGUGGAAAAUGGAGCAAGAGACCCAUGCAAAAACAAAACAUAACACACGCACACCUCCCCCUCCCCCCCAAAACAAACAAACAAACAAAAACACAAAGGAUGGAGGAAAAAGACACUUUGCUGUUUGGCUGAAGGAAGUCAUUAAACUGAAAUCUGGGAGAAGAUCGUAGAGGUGAAGGAGGGAAGACUGAAACUAUCUUCUGAAUGACAGCCCAUAGACUAUCUAGUGUUCUGAAUGAGUCAACAAAUCUCUUUCCAUUUGUGGAACCCUCAAAAUACCUCUAGUUACAUUUGUAACCUCUCCUGUGGAAAUGCAUUUCACUUUCUGUACCACUCAAGAGCCUCACAACUAGAAACGAUGAUUAUUGAGACCAACUGUCCCAUCAGUAACCAACUUGAAUAGAAUGACCAAUGAAUGUGACAACAGGCAGUGGAACGUUAAUGAGUUAAAUAAUGAUAAUCCUAUAGAUGAUAAGUGGGAAUGACAAAACAACCAUGUUGGCUCUUGCUCACUCUAAGCUUGUGCAUCAAAGAAGUAUAGUCAGUUUCAUAGCAAAGCAAAAGCUGAGAUAAAAGGGCUGAGGCUGUCUGUGAUCUGAUCUUUACCAUAAAAAGGGGAGGAUGUUUUAUGAACUAUCACUCUGAGUACAAAUAAAUGUAGAAUUUAAGAAAGAACUGAUGUAUUUGAUUUAUAAAUAAAGUGUAGAGAACAAUCCCUGAUGUGUAAGAAUUCUUUACAGCCUGCAAGGACUCCUGUCCACUUUUACAACCCAAUACAGAUCAUGUUGCAAAGUAAAUUAUUACAUGUUACCUUCUGUAGCAGAUGCAUUAACAUCCAAACAGAUUGUAAAGAGAUUAUAAAAUGGUUAGUACACUUGUUGCAUAGCAGAGCUCUUCAGAGGUGACUGUUUAUCCUGGUUUCCUGUUAAUUUGGCAAGAACUGAAGUUCUAGUCUUUAUCACAGACCAAGCCAUGUCAAACAGGAUGAUCUGAUGAACACUGACCAAUGAGACUAAUGAUAUCUGAUUAUGGGAAGUGUUCCCGCCACGUUGACACUCCCAGUUCUUCACACAAUAGACACUGAGAAUGUUCUCAGCUGCUUUUGGCCCUCCCUGUAAACUGUUGAAGACUCCACCAGAAUUCAAAUAAAAAUGUCUUUAUCA